GACGAACGCUGGCGGCGUGCUUAACACAUGCAAGUCAAGGGGGCCGACGCAAUGGGCGAACCGGCGAACGGGUGCGUAACACGUGAGCAACCUACCGAACCGUGGGGAGUAGCCGGCCUAACGGCCGAGUAAUACCGCAUACGCUCUCAGAGAGGCAUUUCUUUGAGAGGAAACCUACGGGACAGAUCGAGGGGCUCGCGGCCUAUCAGCUAGUUGGCGAGGUAACGGCUCACCAAGGCAACGACGGUAGCUGGUCUGAGAGGAUGGCCAGCCACAUUGGGACUGAGAUACGGCCCAGACUCCUACGGGAGGCAGCAGUGGGGAAUCUUGCGCAAUGGCCUAACGGCUGACGCAGCGACGCCGCGUGU
Molecule: ribosomal RNA, 368 nt
Filed under: uncultured bacterium
Lineage: Bacteria
Description: bacterial SSU rRNA
Rfam family: Bacterial small subunit ribosomal RNA
Source: RNAcentral